GACGAACGCUGGCGGCGUGCUUAACACAUGCAAGUCGAACGAAGAGCGAUGGAAGCUUGCUUCUAUCAAUCUUAGUGGCGAACGGGUGAGUAACGCGUAAUCAACCUGCCCUUCAGAGGGGGACAACAGUUGGAAACGACUGCUAAUACCGCAUACGAUCUAAUCUCGGCAUCGAGGAUAGAUGAAAGGUGGCCUCUACAUGUAAGCUAUCACUGAAGGAGGGGAUUGCGUCUGAUUAGCUAGUUGGAGGGGUAACGGCCCACCAAGGCGAUGAUCAGUAGCCGGUCUGAGAGGAUGAACGGCCACAUUGGGACUGAGACACGGCCCAGACUCCUACGGGAGGCAGCAGUGGGGAAUCUUCCGCAAUGGACGAAAGCCUGACGGAGCAACGCCGCGUGAGUGAUGACGGCCUUCGGGUUGUAAAGCUCUGUUAAUCGGGACGAAAGGCCUUCUUGCGAAU
Molecule: ribosomal RNA, 460 nt
Filed under: Veillonella parvula
Lineage: Bacteria; Bacillati; Bacillota; Negativicutes; Veillonellales; Veillonellaceae
Description: bacterial SSU rRNA
Rfam family: Bacterial small subunit ribosomal RNA
Source: RNAcentral